GACGAACGCUGGCGGCGUGCCUAAUACAUGCAAGUCGAGCGGACGAUUCGAAAGCUUGCUUUUGAAUCGUUAGCGGCGGACGGGUGAGUAACACGUGGGCAACCUGCCCUGUAGACGGGGAUAACACCGAGAAAUCGGUGCUAAUACCGGAUAACACGAAAUGUCGCAUGACGUUUCGUUGAAAGGCGGCGCAAGCUGCCGCUACAGGAUGGGCCCGCGGCGCAUUAGCUAGUUGGUGAGGUAACGGCUCACCAAGGCGACGAAGCGUAGCCGACCUGAGAGGGUGAUCGGCCACACUGGGACUGAGACACGGCCCAGACUCCUACGGGAGGCAGCAGUAGGGAAUCUUCCGCAAUGGACGAAAGUCUGACGGAGCAACGCCGCGUGAGCGAAGAAGGCCUUCGGGUCGUAAAGCUCUGUUGUUAGGGAAGAACAAGUAACGUAGUAACUGACGUUACUAUGACGGUACCUAACGAGAAAGCCACGGCUAACUACGUG
This 498-nucleotide ribosomal RNA is filed under the name uncultured bacterium. Its description in RNAcentral is "partial 16S ribosomal RNA". It matches the Rfam family "Bacterial small subunit ribosomal RNA", at positions 28 to 507 of the family's 1533-position model. The record is from RNAcentral.